Molecule: transfer RNA, 74 nt
Filed under: Alphaproteobacteria bacterium
Lineage: Bacteria; Pseudomonadati; Pseudomonadota; Alphaproteobacteria
Also listed under: 5 other names
Description: tRNA-Gly
Rfam family: tRNA
About the family: Transfer RNA (tRNA) molecules are approximately 80 nucleotides in length.
Source: RNAcentral
GCGGGUGUAGUUCAAUGGUAGAACACCAGCCUUCCAAGCUGGUCGUGAGGGUUCGAUUCCCUUCACCCGCUCCA